UAAAAGACGAUAUAAGUUUUUGGAUGAUAAAGAGGGUAAUAAUGC
RNAcentral lists this non-coding RNA (45 nucleotides) under Trypanosoma brucei brucei. The record is from RNAcentral. Lineage: Eukaryota; Euglenozoa; Kinetoplastea; Trypanosomatida; Trypanosomatidae.